This 251-nucleotide ribosomal RNA is filed under the name uncultured bacterium. RNAcentral's name for it is "partial 16S ribosomal RNA". It matches the Rfam family "Bacterial small subunit ribosomal RNA", at positions 524 to 776 of the family's 1533-position model. The record is from RNAcentral.
GACGGGGGGGGCAAGUGUUCUUCGGAAUGACUGGGCGUAAAGGGCACGUAGGCGGUGAAUCGGGUUGAAAGUGAAAGUCGCCAAAAAGUGGCGGAAUGCUCUCGAAACCAAUUCACUUGAGUGAGACAGAGGAGAGUGGAAUUUCGUGUGUAGGGGUGAAAUGCGCAGAUAUCAGGAGGAACACCAAUGGCGAAGGCAGCUCGCUGGGACGUGACUGACGCUGAGACGCGAAAGCGUGGGGAGCAAACAGG